RNAcentral lists this unclassified non-coding RNA (129 nucleotides) under uncultured Sordariales. Its description in RNAcentral is "sequence contains ITS1". Lineage: Eukaryota; Fungi; Ascomycota; Sordariomycetes; Sordariales. The record is from RNAcentral.
AAGAGUUGCAAAACUCCCAACCAUUGUGAACGAACCUUUCUGCUCAGGCGAGCGGCGCCCUGCCGCUGCAAGCCGAAGGCAGCAAACUCUUGAUUUAAUAAAUAUCUGAGUAGCUUAUUUAAUAAGUCA